This 220-nucleotide non-coding RNA is filed under the name Hyphomicrobiales bacterium. Lineage: Bacteria; Pseudomonadati; Pseudomonadota; Alphaproteobacteria; Hyphomicrobiales. The record is from RNAcentral.
AUCGUCUGCGGCGGUCAAGGUUCUUCCCUUCCGGUUGAUCCGGAAGGGAAGCUAAGAGGGAAUCCGGUGCCUCUCCAAUGAGGGAAAGCCGGAGCUGACCCGCAACUGUAAGCGGCGAGCCGCUUUGCCGAUUUUCGUCACUGGCCUUUCGGGGCCGGGAAGACGGGCGAAGCAGCCGAGACCCGCGAGCCAGGAGACCUGCCUGACCUCAUAGGGUUCC